This 388-nucleotide ribosomal RNA is filed under the name uncultured bacterium. RNAcentral's name for it is "bacterial SSU rRNA". It matches the Rfam family "Bacterial small subunit ribosomal RNA", at positions 30 to 417 of the family's 1533-position model. The record is from RNAcentral.
AUUGAACGCUGGCGGCAUGCCUUACACAUGCAAGUCGAACGGCAGCACGGGAGCAAUCCUGGUGGCGAGUGGCGAACGGGUGAGUAAUAUAUCGGAACGUGCCCAGUCGUGGGGAUAACGUAGCGAAAGCUACGCUAAUACCGCAUACGAUCUAUGGAUGAAAGCGGGGGAUCGCAAGACCUCGCGCGAUUGGAGCGGCCGAUAUCAGAUUAGGUAGUUGGUGAGGUAAAGGCUCACCAAGCCGACGAUCUGUAGCUGGUCUGAGAGGACGACAGCCACACUGGGACUGAGACACGGUCCAGACUCCUACGGGAGGCAGCAGUGGGGAAUUUUUGGGACAAUGGGGGGCAACCCUGAUCCAGCAAUGCCGCGUGAGUGAAGAAGGCCU